RNAcentral lists this unclassified non-coding RNA (20 nucleotides) under synthetic construct. The record is from RNAcentral.
GGACUAGCGGAGGCUAGUCC